Molecule: ribosomal RNA, 1091 nt
Filed under: uncultured organism
Description: bacterial SSU rRNA
Rfam family: Bacterial small subunit ribosomal RNA
Source: RNAcentral
GUUUGCAAUCUACCUCUAACUGGAGGAUAGCCCGAAGAAAUUCGGAUUAAUACUCCAUAAAGUCAUAAUUUCGCAUGUUAUUAUGAUUAAAGCUUCGGCGGUUAGAGAUGAGCAUGCGUGUCAUUAGCUUGUUGGUGAGGUAACGGCUCACCAAGGCAACGAUGACUAGGGGUUCUGAGAGGAUGAUCCCCCACACUGGUACUGAGACACGGACCAGACUCCUACGGGAGGCAGCAGUGAGGAAUAUUGGGCAAUGGGCGAAAGCCUGACCCAGCCAUGCCGCGUGCAGGAUGACUGCCCUAUGGGUUGUAAACUGCUUUUAUACGGGAAGAAUGGUUCCUACGUGUAGGGAUUUGACGGUACCGUAAGAAUAAGCAUCGGCUAACUCCGUGCCAGCAGCCGCGGUAAUACGGAGGAUGCAAGCGUUAUCCGGAUUCAUUGGGUUUAAAGGGUGCGCAGGCGGAAUAUUAAGUCAGUGGUGAAAUCCUGCAGCUUAACUGUAGAACUGCCAUUGAUACUGAUAUUCUUGAAUGUAGUUGAGGUGGGCGGAAUGUGUAAUGUAGCGGUGAAAUGCUUAGAUAUUACACAGAACACCGAUUGCGAAGGCAGCUCACUAAACUAACAUUGACGCUGAGGCACGAAAGCGUGGGGAGCGAACAGGAUUAGAUACCCUGGUAGUCCACGCUGUAAACUAUGAUCACUCGCUGUUGGCAAUACAUCGUCAGCGGCUGAGCGAAAGCAUUAAGUGAUCCACCUGGGGAUUGCGAUCGCAAGAUUGAAACUCAAAGGAAUUGUCGGGGGCCCGCACAAGCGGAGGAACAUGUGGUUUAAUUCGAUGAUACGCGAGGAACCUUACCUGGGCUUAAAUGCAGAUCGACGUUCCGGGAAACCGGAAUUCCUUCGGGCGAACUGCAAGGUGCUGCAUGGCAGUCGUCAGCUCGUGCCGUGAGGUGUCGGGUUAAGUCCCAUAACGAGCGCAACCCUUAUCGUUAAGUUGCCACCGGGUAAUGCCGGGAACUCUAACGAAACUGCCGGUGUAAACCGUGAGGAAGGUGGGGAUGACGUCAAGUCAGCACGGCCCUUAUGUCCAG